UACGUAGGGCGCAAGCGUUGUCCGGAAUUAUUGGGCGUAAAGAGCUCGUAGGCGGUGUGUCACGUCGGCCGUGAAAACCUGCAGCUUAACUGUGGGCGUGCGGUCGAUACGGGCAUCACUGGAGUUCGGCAGGGGAGACUGGAAUUCCUGGUGUAGCGGUGAAAUGCGCAGAUAUCAGGAGGAACACCGGUGGCGAAGGCGGGUCUCUGGGCGAUUAACUGACGCUGGAGGAG
This 233-nucleotide ribosomal RNA is filed under the name uncultured bacterium. Its description in RNAcentral is "partial 16S ribosomal RNA". It matches the Rfam family "Bacterial small subunit ribosomal RNA", at positions 524 to 753 of the family's 1533-position model. The record is from RNAcentral.